Esox lucius (northern pike) is the source of this 872-nucleotide long non-coding RNA. RefSeq lists it as uncharacterized. The record is from RefSeq and is a predicted model, not a curated record. NCBI's taxonomy places the organism in Eukaryota, Metazoa, Chordata, Actinopteri, Esociformes, Esocidae. The transcript is spliced from 3 exons.
UACAAUUCAUUUAUAAAUAUCUAACUAACUAUAGCCUACUUCACAGUUUAAUUACAUCAAAUACAUUUCGUGUGUGUAAGAUCUUCCUUCGAAUUCAGAGCAUAAUAUUUACCCGCAAUUUCUGGUUCUUAUUGAGUGUGCAAGGCUGUUGAAAAUAUGCAUUCUGGAGUUGUGUCAAGUGGUGGGAGAUAUUGUACGGAUCGCGCUGAGUCGGUUACAUAACAGGCCCUGUUCCAUCCCAGCCAUUGUUCUGGCAGAGAGCUGCUCUGAUUGUGUCAAACAGCCCCCAGCUCUCUGCCUCUUUCUAGUGACUAAGAUGCUCCAGUUCCUACCCUGCCUCGUGCUUUCCUCAUCCAGUCUUUGCCAUGGGACAGAGAGCAACUUGCAUAAUUAUAGUUACAGAUUGUGUAAGUCUUCCUCCUAGGUAUACAUGUCAAGCCAUUCUUCUUUGGAAGUCGGUCUGAUCAGCACAUGUGAGGUCAUGCUUACUGAACUGAUGUCCUCAGUUAGAUGGCAGGCCCAGAUCUGACUGUUGAGUUGCUAGAGCGCGAUGAGUCAAGGAAAUCCCUGCUGACAACGCCAGCUCCAACCCCGGACAAUGGUUGGCCAGCCAGAGGCACAGGUAAGGCUCCAAAAAUGACCUUGUUUCUUUAACUCUACCCAGUUACCUGUUUUUUUUUUUUUUUUUACAAAGUAUUUACCUGUGGUGGAUAUCAUCACUACGAACCCCAUUUCUGAGAGAUUGAAAGGUGUUCACAAAACAUCCAACCAGAAGAAACACACAUACAUUCUCAUCAUUUCAAAGCAAGCCAAGAGGCUUCUCCCUGUAUUUCUCAAUAAAACGAAAAUUCACCUGAAAAUCAGACAACAAA